ACGGAAGGCAGCAGUGGGGAAUCUUGCACAAUGGGGGAAACCCUGAUGCAGCGAUGCCGCGUGGAGGAAGAAGGUUUUCGGAUUGUAAACUCCUGUCUUAAAGGACGAUAAUGACGGUACUUUAGGAGGAAGCUCCGGCUAACUACGUGCCAGCAGCCGCGGUAAUACGUAGGGAGCGAGCGUUGUCCGGAAUUACUGGGUGUAAAGGGAGCGUAGGCGGGCCUGCAAGUCAGAUGUGAAAUGCCGGGGCUUAACCCCGGAGCUGCAUUUGAAACUGUGGUUCUUGAGUGAAGUAGAGGCAAGCGGAAUUCCUGGUGUAGCGGUGAAAUGCGUAGAUAUCAGGAGGAACACCGGUGGCGAAGGCGGCUUGCUGGACUUUAACUGACGCUGAGGCACGAAAGCGUGGGUAGCAAACAGGAUUAGAUACCCUGGUA
RNAcentral lists this ribosomal RNA (434 nucleotides) under uncultured Ruminococcus sp. RNAcentral's name for it is "bacterial SSU rRNA". It matches the Rfam family "Bacterial small subunit ribosomal RNA", at positions 341 to 792 of the family's 1533-position model. Lineage: Bacteria; Bacillati; Bacillota; Clostridia; Eubacteriales; Oscillospiraceae. The record is from RNAcentral.